UACGUAGGUGGCAAGCGUUAUCCGGAUUUAUUGGGCGUAAAGAGAACGCAGGCGGUCUUUUAAGUCUGAUGUGAAAGCCCGGGGCUCAACCCCGGGACUGCAUUUGGAACUGUAUAGCUAGAGUGUCGGAGAGGCAGGCGGAAUUCCUAGUGUAGCGGUGAAAUGCGUAGAUAUUAGGAGGAACACCAGUGGCGAAGGCGGCCUGCUGGACGAUGACUGACGUUGAGGCUCGAAAGCGUGGGGAGCAAACAGG
This 253-nucleotide ribosomal RNA is filed under the name uncultured bacterium. Its description in RNAcentral is "partial 16S ribosomal RNA". It matches the Rfam family "Bacterial small subunit ribosomal RNA", at positions 524 to 776 of the family's 1533-position model. The record is from RNAcentral.